RNAcentral lists this ribosomal RNA (235 nucleotides) under uncultured bacterium. RNAcentral's name for it is "partial 16S ribosomal RNA". It matches the Rfam family "Bacterial small subunit ribosomal RNA", at positions 99 to 334 of the family's 1533-position model. The record is from RNAcentral.
CGGACGGGUGAGUAACGCGUGGGUAACCUGCCUUGUACUGGGGGACAACAGUUAGAAAUGACUGCUAAUACCGCAUAAGCGCACAGUAUCGCAUGAUACAGUGUGAAAAACUCCGGUGGUACGAGAUGGACCCGCGUCUGAUUAGCUAGUUGGUAAGGUAACGGCUUACCAAGGCGACGAUCAGUAGCCGACCUGAGAGGGUGACCGGCCACAUUGGGACUGAGACACGGCCCAA